AUACUAGUUCUAAAAUUAAAUUUUUGAGUGAAACAGUAUACGUGCAUGAUUGUCCACUGUGUAGUAGCAAAAAAUAUAAGUCAAAUCAAAUCUGGUCAAAUUGUCAAUGUUACAACUGUAGAUGUUACCGGAUUCCUUAUCGAUUGAAUAUGCCAGAUUAGAUCUGAAUCUUUAUAAUGUGAACGAAAGUGUAAAUUUAAGAUUUAACGAGUUUAAUUCAUUGUUUCUUUUUGUACUAUUGAGCAGUUUCUCGUUUCGCGUUUGUGGAAUGCAUUUUAGUUUAUGCCUGGUUUGUGACCGGGUAUAAACAAAAAAUAAUGUCCCUUAUUACAGGGUAUAGAUUAAAAAAUAAGCUACUUCAGAACAAAGCUCUAUUAGUUCUCGUUACUUUGAUUGGGACAGCAGGUCUGUCCUAUUGGAUCAAAGACAGAUACAAAGCUGCUAAGCUUAAGCAACAAAAACCAGCUGAUGAAUCUACAAGAAAGCGCCCAAAAGCAGCUGUCGACAAAUUAUUUUUUAUAAGGUUGUACUCCUUAAGCAAAAUUGCUGUUCCUUCAUUUUUUUGUAGAGAGUCUCUUGAACUAUGGCUUUUGAUAGGUUUCUUGUGGGCUCGUACACAUCUGACCCUUUGCAUAGCUGACAUUACUGGAAAAAAUGCCAAAUCACUUGUGUCACGGAAUUAUAAGAAAUUCAUUCAAGGGGUACUAAACUUGGCUGCUGUGGCUAUUCCAGCUAGUAUUGUCAACUCUGGAAUCAAAUAUUGGUCGUUUUUGCUGAGGUUUAACACUCGUCAACGCAUCUCUGAGCAUCUUCACGAUUUGUAUUUAAACGAUUUAACAUUUUACCGAGCUGCCAAUAUGGAGAAAAUUGAUAACAUCGACCAACGAAUUACACAAGAUAUAGACAAGUUUGCUGAAUCUUUUUCCUCGCUCUUUGGCACCAUUUUCAAGCCUUUUUUGGAUAUCAUACUACUAACUUCACGUCUUGUAAAGGUUGUUGGAUACAAAGGCUCUUUCAUAAUGUAUUUUUAUUAUCUCGUGUCAUCGAUUAUACUGCAUUUGAUCAUGCCUCCCUACGCUAGGCUAACAGCCGAAUUACAAAGACUAGAAGGUAAUUUUCGUCAUCUCCAUUCGCGAGUCAUUAAUUACUCGGAAGAGAUAGCUUUUUACAGAGGAAUCAAAACGGAAAAAGAAUAUUUAGAUGAUAGUUUCAAUUGCAUAUACGAUCAAAGUAAAUACAUCUUCCAAAAACAAGCCUCGUUAGGAAUUUUUGAUUCAUGGCUAGUAAAAUAUGGCUCUACUCUGGUUGGAUACGUAGUAUUAGCCAUUCCAGUGUUCAGCACCAUAAAUUCUAACGCAAAAAAUUCAGAUACUUAUUCUGUGAAUAACAUUACUCGUGACUAUGUGAGUAAUUCACAUAUUUUAAUCAAUUUAGCUCGCUCUAUCGGAAAAAUUGUGCUACUGUACAAAAACUUUACCCAACUCGCCGGAUAUACAACACGCGUAGCCGAACUAAGAGAACUGUUACUAAAUAUCAACGCCGAAGAAAAUGAAGCUGAUAAGAAAGACAUAUACGAAUAUGCAGACCGAAUCGAAUUUAAACACGUCGAUAUUAUUUCUCCGGAUAACAUUGUCUUACUUCAAGAUGUUACCUUUUCAGUUUAUCCUGGUACUAAUUUGCUGAUUGUGGGACCUAACGGGUCUGGGAAGUCUAGCCUAUUCCGCGUUUUGUCCAAUAUUUGGCCAUUAUCUAAUGGCCGUUUGGUUCGGCCUCGCGGUAAUGACAUCUUUUAUAUCCCUCAGCGUCCGUAUUUUACUUCUGGGACCUUCCGGGAGCAAGUCCUUUACCCCCACUCUGAAGUUGAAAUGAAGAGCCGUGGCAUUACUGAUGAUGAUCUAGCUUCUCUCUUGGAACAAACCGAGAUCAAGUAUCUGCUCGACCGCGAGUCUUGGGAAAGAAAACAAGACUGGACGGAAAAACUUUCACAAGGAGAACAGCAGCGACUAGCUAUGGCGCGCCUAUUUUACCAUUCCCCAAAGUUUGCAAUCUUAGAUGAAUGUACCUCACAGUUGUCUUUGGAUAUCGAGGCUUUGAUAUUUUCGAAAUGCAAGAAUCUCGACAUUACACUCAUCACAGUCGCGCACCGUAAAUCCCUCUGGAAAUAUCAUUCUCAUGUGUUGAUUCUAGAUGGACUUGGAAAUUGGACUUUUCGUCAAAUAAACUCCGAGGAUCUGCUUCAAAAUAACAAUCAAAUUUUUAAUCAAUAGUGAAAGACACCUUAAGGCUGUUAUUAUCAAAAUACUGGUCGAAUGCAUUCUUAAGCAAGAAGAAUAGAAAUUCAGUUUAAUGAUGUGCGCCUUUAAAUAUGCUUAAAACAAAAUAUCUCAGCGAAAUAUUGACGAAAUCCUUGAAAAAGCAAGUGUACUAGAGAUAGGGCUAAUUUUACACGAACAGUUUACAGGACUUAUAGCACACAUACCGAUAUGAUAUAUAUGUACAAGCAGAUAGAUCAAGGCUGCUUACAAAAUUAUAUAAUUCGAUCCUUUUUUGGCGAUGAACCGUGUUUGAGCUAUCAUCGAGAGAAAAAAAUAAAAUAGCUUUUAAUUAAAAAAAAAAAAAGUACU
RNA transcript from Schistocerca gregaria, 2624 nucleotides. It is a transcript of the gene named 2-hydroxyacid dehydrogenase homolog, with no coding region annotated. The record is from RefSeq and is a predicted model, not a curated record. Lineage: Eukaryota; Metazoa; Arthropoda; Insecta; Orthoptera; Acrididae. The transcript is spliced from 3 exons.